RNAcentral lists this transfer RNA (25 nucleotides) under Atherinosoma elongatum. RNAcentral's name for it is "partial tRNA-Pro". Lineage: Eukaryota; Metazoa; Chordata; Actinopteri; Atheriniformes; Atherinidae. The record is from RNAcentral.
GGAUUCUAAACUAAAGUAUUCUUCG